Xenorhabdus szentirmaii DSM 16338 is the source of this 73-nucleotide transfer RNA. It matches the Rfam family "tRNA". Rfam says of the family: Transfer RNA (tRNA) molecules are approximately 80 nucleotides in length. NCBI's taxonomy places the organism in Bacteria, Pseudomonadati, Pseudomonadota, Gammaproteobacteria, Enterobacterales, Morganellaceae. The record is from Rfam.
GGGUCGUUAGCUCAGUCGGUAGAGCAGUUGACUUUUAAUCAAUUGGUCGCAGGUUCGAAUCCUGCACGACCCA